AUGAAGAACGUAGCGAAAUGCGAUAAGUAAUGUGAAUUGCAGAAUUCAGUGAAUCAUCGAAUCUUUGAACGCACAUUGCGCCCGCCAGCAUUCUGGCGGGCAUGCCUGUUCGAGCGUCAUUUCAACCCUCGAGCCCCCCCGGGGGCCUCGGUGUUGGGGGACGGCACACCAGCCGCCCCCGAAAUGCAGUGGCGACCCCGCCGCAGCCUCCCCUGCGUAGUAGCACACACCUCGCACCGGAGCGCGGAGGCGGUCACGCCGUAAAACGCCCAACUUUCUUAGAGUUGACCUCGGAUCAGGUAGGAAUACCCGCUGAACUUAAGCAUAUCAAUAAGCGGAGGA
RNAcentral lists this unclassified non-coding RNA (342 nucleotides) under soil metagenome. Its description in RNAcentral is "partial contains 5.8S ribosomal RNA, internal transcribed spacer 2, and large subunit ribosomal RNA". The stretch from base 1 to 119 matches the Rfam family "5.8S ribosomal RNA", at positions 36 to 154 of the family's 154-position model. The record is from RNAcentral.